RNAcentral lists this ribosomal RNA (121 nucleotides) under Arabidopsis thaliana x Arabidopsis arenosa. Lineage: Eukaryota; Viridiplantae; Streptophyta; Magnoliopsida; Brassicales; Brassicaceae. The record is from RNAcentral.
GGAUGCGAUCAUACCAGCACUAAUGCACCCGGAUCCCAUCAGAACUCCGCAGUAAGCGUGCUUGGGCGAGAGUAGUACUAGGAGAUGGGUGACCUCCCGGGAAGUCCUCGUGUUGCAUCCC